UGGGGAAUAUUGCACAAUGGGGGAAACCCUGAUGCAGCGACGCCGCAUGAGCGAAGAAGGUUUUCGAAUCGUAAAGCUCUGUCCUAUGAGAAGAUAAUGACGGUAUCAUAGGAGGAAGCCCCGGCUAAAUACGUGCCAGCAGCCGCGGUAAUACGUAUGGGGCGAGCGUUGUCCGGAAUUAUUGGGCGUAAAGGGUACGUAGGCGGUCUAUUAAGUCAGGUGUGAAAGCGUGAGGCUUAACCUCAUUAAGCACUUGAAACUGAUAGACUUGAGUGAAGGAGAGGAAAGUGGAAUUCCUAGUGUAGCGGUGAAAUGCGUAGAUAUUAGGAGGAAUACCGGUGGCGAAGGCGACUUUCUGGACUUUUACUGACGCUCAGGUACGAAAGCGUGGGGAGCAAACAGG
This 403-nucleotide ribosomal RNA is filed under the name Verrucomicrobiota bacterium. Its description in RNAcentral is "Verrucomicrobia bacterium partial 16S ribosomal RNA". It matches the Rfam family "Bacterial small subunit ribosomal RNA", at positions 355 to 776 of the family's 1533-position model. Lineage: Bacteria; Pseudomonadati; Verrucomicrobiota. The record is from RNAcentral.